This 111-nucleotide signal recognition particle RNA is filed under the name Campylobacter concisus 13826. RNAcentral's name for it is "bacterial signal recognition particle RNA (4.5S RNA)". The stretch from base 6 to 103 matches the Rfam family "Bacterial small signal recognition particle RNA". Rfam says of the family: The signal recognition particle (SRP) is a universally conserved ribonucleoprotein involved in the co-translational targeting of proteins to membranes. Archaeal SRP consists of a 7S RNA and homologues of the eukaryotic SRP19 and SRP54 proteins. Lineage: Bacteria; Pseudomonadati; Campylobacterota; Epsilonproteobacteria; Campylobacterales; Campylobacteraceae. The record is from RNAcentral.
GCUCCUUCUUAGACCUGUGCAAUGCUUUUUAUGAGCACCGCUUCAGGGUGGGAACACAGCAGAGCACUUGUAUUAAGUGUGUGCCGCAGUCAUCUGAGAGGGGGUCUUUCU